AGGCCCAAAGAGAGAGGCAGGGUCUGAUUCAUAGCCUCCAUGGCAGCUAUUGAUCAGCUGUUGCCUCUCUUUUUCUCUCCC
This is a non-coding RNA of Myotis lucifugus (little brown bat), 81 nucleotides long. The record is from Rfam. NCBI's taxonomy places the organism in Eukaryota, Metazoa, Chordata, Mammalia, Chiroptera, Vespertilionidae.